This 850-nucleotide ribosomal RNA is filed under the name Adelophryne gutturosa (Guiana Shield frog). RNAcentral's name for it is "partial 16S ribosomal RNA". It matches the Rfam family "Bacterial large subunit ribosomal RNA", at positions 1649 to 2599 of the family's 2925-position model. The record is from RNAcentral. Lineage: Eukaryota; Metazoa; Chordata; Amphibia; Anura; Eleutherodactylidae.
AAAAAGCGUCACAGCUUAUUAGUCCAUAACUACAAUACCAUAAUAUCCUAAAAACCCUUUAUUAAUACCGAACUAUUCUAUAUAAUUAUAGAACUAUUUAUGUUAAGACUAGUAGCAAGAAGCAACCUUCUCUUUUAAUGUAAGUGUAAACACCACCUCCAUUUAACACGCAAACUCAACGUAGCAACCUAACAAGAAAAUCCUACCACACCUGCUGUUGACCUUACACCAGAACAUUCCAAGAAAGAUUUUAAGAGAAAGAAGGAACUCGGCAAACUACGAUUCCGCCUGUUUACCAAAAACAUCGCCUCUUGCAAAACAUAAGAGGUCCUGUCUGCCCAGUGACACCGUUCAACGGCCGCGGUAUUCUGACCGUGCAAAGGUAGCGCAAUCAUUUGUUUUCUAAUUAAAGACCUGUAUGAAAGACCCCACGAGAAUCUAACUGUCUCCUCUCUCUAAUCAGCGAAAUUAAUCUCCUCGUGAAAAAGCGAGGAUUCUAACAUAAGACGAAAAGACCCUGUGGAGCUUUAAACAAACUAACAACUAAUAUACUUCAUCCACCCUAUAUUGAGAUGAUUACAAGUUUUUGGUUGGGGUGACCAUGGAGCAAAAACCAACCUCCAAGAUGAUAAAGGACCCCCUUUAACAUAAAACUACAAUUUUAUGUAUCAGAAUACUGACAUCAAUUGACCCUUCUUGAUCAACGAACCAAGCUACCCCAGGGAUAACAGCGCAAUCUGCCUCAAGAGUACAUAUCGACAAGCAGGCUUACGACCUCGAUGUUGGAUCAGGGUGUCCCAGUGGUGCAGCCGCUACUAAAGGCUCGUUUGUUCAACGAUUAAAACCCUAC